Molecule: ribosomal RNA, 439 nt
Filed under: uncultured bacterium
Lineage: Bacteria
Description: partial 16S ribosomal RNA
Rfam family: Bacterial small subunit ribosomal RNA
Source: RNAcentral
CUACGGGUCGCAGCAGUGAGGAAUAUUGCACAAUGGGGGGAACCCUGAUGCAGCAACGCCGCGUGGAAGAUGACGCAUUUCGGUGUGUAAACUCCUUUUAUAUGUCAAGAAAAUGACGGUAGCAUAUGAAUAAGCACCGGCUAACUCCGUGCCAGCAGCCGCGGUAAUACGGAGGGUGCAAGCGUUACUCGGAAUCACUGGGCGUAAAGGACGCGUAGGCGGGUUGGAAAGUCAGGUGUGAAAUCCUACAGCUUAACUGUAGAACUGCACUUGAAACUUCUAAUCUAGAGUAUGGGAGGGGGAGAUGGAAUUAGUGGUGUAGCGGUAAAAUCCGUAGAUAUCACUAGGAAUACCUAAAGCGAAGGCGAUCUCCUGGAACAUUACUGACGCUAAGGCGUGAAAGCGUGGGGAGCAAACAGGAUUAGAUACCCCGGUAGUC